This 465-nucleotide unclassified non-coding RNA is filed under the name Hevea brasiliensis (rubber tree). Lineage: Eukaryota; Viridiplantae; Streptophyta; Magnoliopsida; Malpighiales; Euphorbiaceae. The record is from RNAcentral.
AGAGGAGGUUGGGGUCUGGCGUCGUAAGUACCAUCUAAAGAAAAUGCAAUUUUAACUGAUUCAGAAUUUAUUCAAAUGUGAAAUUUUAUUGGUUGCAAGCUGAAAAGAUUGUAGAAAAUUUAUCAGUUCUCUUAUAGCUCUAUCGUUUUCAUACGAGUCAUGCACAUGAAAUUAAAAUUCAAAUGCUGAUGGAUGAUUGAGCUAUAUUUAUGUUCCUAUGCAUCUGUCAACUUCUGGUUUCCCACUACUUUAAAUGAAAUAUUGGAAUCAUUGAGUUCUUGUUCAUUAAAAAUUUUGUGCCCAAAAAAAUCUAAAUGUAAGUAUGAGAAUAUGGUGAAAACCUUUCAGCAAAAUGAAUCCAAUAACAAUGAAAUCAAGGUCUCUUACUGAUAUCAGAAGUGUGACUUGAGCUCAACUGAACGUAUUUAUCACAUAUUUUUCUUCUGUUGAAUUUCAGGCUUAUGU